Salmo salar (Atlantic salmon) is the source of this 2466-nucleotide non-coding RNA. NCBI's taxonomy places the organism in Eukaryota, Metazoa, Chordata, Actinopteri, Salmoniformes, Salmonidae. The record is from RefSeq and is a predicted model, not a curated record.
GUGUACUUCAUCUGUAUAUUUGUGUGGCUUGUAAGCAUGUAUCACCAUUGUAGGACUAUGGUGUGGGGCAUGGAGGGACUUAAUGCAUUAUUGAUUUACUGAAACGUUUUGCACAUGUCGCCCCUCUGGUUCGCCUCACUACUUUCCCUGCUCCACACCAGCAUGCCUGCGCCCACCCGCCAGACACACAGGCAGGCUUUAAAUAUUUCAUAAGCCGGUUUUCAUUAAUAUAAUGGGAAUUAUCCAAGUCAGUAAAUCUAAUUAUCAGGUGUGAAGUUCACUCACCCAUCCCUUUCCCUCAACCUUACCUUAGCCCAAACACAUAAAAAAACGUAGGCUCUACAUAAUCCUCCGCUCUCCACGUCUACCGUCGCUCUCCCCUGCUCAUUAUUUUCUCAAUACCUUUUGAUGUCCUUCUAGUCCUCCCUCUCUAUUCUCAUCCUCUCCUAGUCUCUCCAUCUGGAACAGUUUGUGCAUAUAUUAUGAAGACAUUUUGUGACAUUUUGGUUCGUUUUGGUCUUCGUUAAGGGUUUUGUUCAUCUGUUUGUGCACACAAAAUGUUUUGACGAAGCAAGCCAAAGUUCGGUAGCCGAAGUCUACACCCCUUCGUUGGCGAUUGGUCAACUGUAGGGGUGACGCGAGUUUCUUCUUAUCGAUUUAGUCCGAAAACUCAGUGUGGAUUCAACAUGGCGAACGACAACUUCAAGCGUUGCUUAGCCAAGGAGGUACUGAAGUAAGCAAGACGGAAAGCAACAUGCCAUCUUCACAAGAGAAUGAGGCACAAACACCAGUGAAUGGGGACAACACCAGGUUUUGUUCUCUGCUCCCCAGCAUUGCCUCUUCACCUGCCCCCAGCACUGACUGGUCAUUAACCCCCAACCCAUCUCCCGCACUGAGCUGCAGUGCAGAAUGGAAAACCAUCUCUAUGAAGGACCUGGGAAGCCCUAUCCUGGGCCCACAUCCAAUACCUACUCCACUGGCUUGCUCCUCACCAAUGCCACAGAGCAGCAGCAGUAGUAGCAGGACUGUGAGAAGAAGGGAGAAAAGAGCUGCAGACUCAGCCCAUGACACAUCACUCGCAAAGGCGUUGCAAAGACCGAUUUCAAGAUCUGGAGAACGUCAUGCAUUGAGCCACCCAGAAGGCCCUGGCACCUAUAGCUGAUUUCAUGGAUGAACUAUUGCCAAAACUCUGGUUGGAAUUUGAUCACCAGCUGCAUGAAUUUGUGCAUGACUUCAAGAAGAAGACAUGGACCGAACGACUGGGACCACAGUGAAAUUAACAACUUGUUCUUGUUGUUCAGACAUCUCAGGAGUCAGACUCUAGACAAUUUUAUUCAAUAGACACUUUUGUUUGCAUGUCUUUUUCACAGACACAUUUGUACUAUUCUACAAAUAAUUGCAUUUGUCUGACACUUUAAUGAUAUUUCAUUGAUGUGUUGUUUACAUGUCUGUUCUUAGCAGACACUGUUGUAUUGUGGUUUACUUUCAGAGCCCAGAUGCAAGAAUAAGGUUAAUUUUUUUGUGUGCUGAAAAAGCUCUGUUUCUUCAUCUCGAUACAAGGUGUUUCAAUGCAUUCUAUUUGAUAAUCAAGUACUGACAAUGUUGAGAAGAGCUGUGUGCUGCAGACCUUACAGGCUAUCUUUUGUGUGGUGUAGUUCAAUCUAAUCUAAAUUAAUGCACACAGACAUCAUAAAAAUGAGUUGUAGUUGUGGAAGGCCAGACAAGCCUUCAGAAUGUCCUUAGCCUUUUCAGGGUUACACUCGGUUAGCCGAACAAGAGUCCUCAUCCUUGCAGCCAUGAUGCCGAAAGCAUUCUCUAUGACAACGAGAGUGGCGGUAGUUGUAGGAACACCCAGGUUCAUUGAGAUGGACACCUGUGAAUGAGAGAUAAUGAGAAUAUAUGUUAGAUAUAAAAUAUAGCCUAUUUGGUAAAAAAAAAAGAAUACAAUUUUCCAGGAACCAUAUUCCAAAAGCCUUAAUAAAAUGGCAUUUCUCAUAUAGAUGUGCAUACAUGUAUGCAGUAACAAGGGAAAUUAGAAACAGAAAGAUUGAUUCCAACAUUCUAUUAUCAACAUACCUGGAUAAGGGUGAAUCAGUUUUUCAUGUAGGGGGCUGCAUCUCCCAGAAAAACAUGGACUUGGUGUUAUGGUGCCUGGCAGGACAACUGGUGGUGGUAUAUCAAGAGUCUUCUGCAGCAGUUUGGACCCAAAAUAACUAUCUUGAAACACUCAACCCUUGACCCCAAAGAACUCUCUUGAAACACUCAACCCAUGACCCCAAAGAACUCUCUUGAAACACUCAACCCUUGCUCUCUCGGCCGUAUGUCCCUACAUCAGUCUCUGUAUCUUUUCUAUUAUAUGUCUUGCUAGGUAAAACAAAUCUAGUAGAUCCCGGGCAAGAGGUGAAGGAGAGGGUGAAGUAUUGGAGGUAAAGGGGGAUGGGUGAAGAGGGGUUAGGCAGAGGGUGA